Molecule: long non-coding RNA, 3386 nt
Organism: Mus musculus (house mouse)
Lineage: Eukaryota; Metazoa; Chordata; Mammalia; Rodentia; Muridae
Product: predicted gene, 26560
Exons: 8
Source: RefSeq, a predicted model, not a curated record
AUGAGCUCACAGUGACUGUGACAUCAUGUAUAACCUGUGCAAGCCCAAACCAGACCAUAUCCUACCAUGAACAGGGAAGUUGGGCACAAGCCCCCCCCCCCAAUAGCUGAGGUGCUAUUGGCAGUUUUUUAGUUGCUGGAUGAGAAAGGAAGUCUAUCCCUUAAUAGAUCAGCCACCAUCCAGUGGAAGACCACACACACAUCAAGGGAUAUUUGGGUAGCACAGUUGGUUUGGAAGAAAAAGGGAAAAUAUACACAAAGUUGGGUGUGAAGUGGGGAGAUCUGGCAAGAGCUGGGGAGGCCGGUGAAUAGGAUCAAGACAUAGAUAGCAGUGCUUAUCUAACAUUCCCUCUGUGAAGACUGUCUUCCCUGUCUUCACACUGGUAGCACCCACGAGUCUUCAUGGGUGUGACAGGGCAUCCCUGACUCCAGAGCUUUCUGCAUCCCUGCUACCUUCUUCCAGUUGACUGUCUCAUACCUGCAUGUUUCCUUGCUGAUGUUUUCCUUGAUGCUUCAGGACUGCUGUGACUUAUUCUCAUUGAAUUCCUCCUCGGCUAGACUCUAAGAUCGUCACACCAGGGUCACCUCGGGACCCCACAGCCCUGAGACCCGAUAACUGCUUAUUACACACUUGCUAAAGAAGCCAACACUGAUCAAGGGAAAUUGAGCUGAAUCUCAGAUGAGGACCAGGAGGCCCUCAGACAGCUGCGGGAGCAGAUUUGAAGACUGACUUCACAGGAAUGAGAAAGUAAAUGACCUAUUCAGAGAAGGGCAAACUUGCUGUGGGCAAAUAUCAUGGCUCUGACGGUACAGGUUGGGAGGUGAAGCUAAGCAGUGUUUGGGGUCUAGACUGAAAAAUCAUGAUGGCCAGACCACUUCUUAAACCCCUCCUGGGACCAAGACUGCCUCGCAUCUCCUGUCAUUGGCUAAGCAAAGGUCUAGACAGACAAAACCUGAUCACCAUGCUGUGUCUUAAUUGAAUAAGUAAUGAGAGCUGGGCACUGCAAUCAGCCUCCUUCUCCUUUGGCUGCUGCUGAAUACUCAUUAGCCAGUUGUGAACCCCAGAGAACAGAGGUCAUGUUGAGUGACAGCAACCCAGCAGCCUUCUUAGGCAUUUGCUGUAAUUUACAUGAAGAUACGGAUAUAAUUACCUUGAUCAGAUUCACUUCUCCUGGCAAAUGUGUACAUGGAGUCAAGUAAUUUCCUCCCAUUAAAUCAGAGCAUUUGGGGACUAUACUAGUUCUCAGCCAAGAGCUAGAUCCUGGAAGAAAGGCAAAAGGAGAAAGAGAAGAGUGCUCCCAGUGGGACCUUUGGGUGGCGGUGGUGAAAGAGGACCGUUUGGAGCCCAAACACCUAACAAUUCCUCCAAGUCUCUUGAAUUUACAGCAGGCUAAAGCAUGUGGCAUUCUCUGGCCAGCACAAAACCUCAGCCUUUUGCCAAAUGUUGUAUUCCUCGUGUGGUCUGGAUGACAUAAAGAAUGUCUACAAGGUGUUUUUCAAUCUGGGAGCAGGUACUUCGGAGAGGCUUCUGGUUUCGUGCAGACAGGAGCAGGAGAAUGCCCGUGUUCACGCUGAACCUCCACUUGGAGUUAGCCCGAGUGUGAAGCAGGACCCAUACAUUGUCACAGCUCUCACCACUCCUGCUUGGGAUUUAACUCAACUCAACUAUAUGACUCCCAGAAGAAAGCAGGCACACAGGGUGGGUCAUGUUACCUGUGAAAGUUCCAUGGAUGGUAGGCACGGUAAUCACAAGGGACUGGAGGCCAGAGUCCCUGAAGUCAGCAGUGUUUCCACAUGAAUAGGAGAAGGCGUCUGGAUGCUCACAGCAAACCCUGUCCUUCAGUCUGCUGAGCAGGUGUUUUCCUGGCCUCCAUCCUGGGCAACACCACUGCUUCCUGAAGGAGCCCUGGCAGAUGGAAUAGCUGAGCAGCAGGCACAGCGUCUGACCCAGCCACCCUGACUGCACCGUUAGGAGACUUGAAGGGAAGAACGAUUUGCCUGUUUGUAGAGCUGAAGAUUGAGUCUGAAGUCUGUGACCUACCCUGGCUUCCUAGGAGAUGAGUUUAGGUUUGGCCUGACAUGUUCUAAGCCCUACUUUGAUGAAUAUUUUACCACAUUUCAUCAAGUCAAAAAAUAAAUAAGAUUUCCCAAGAAGGCAAGUGAGAACCAGUCUCCACAGGAUACACUUCACCCCUGCCUGCCUCGUCUUUUAGUUUCAUCACCAACCUCCCAAGAAAGGCUGGGUAGCCUAUCACAAAUACUUUCCACUUCCAGGACCGCAGUGCUAACCGACAUCUGCUGCACAACAGAGCUGAUGCCUCUGGGGCUGCUCCAAGCAAGAACACUGAGUUGUACGACCUUAUUGUGACAGACCUUUCUCGGAGGCUGCAUCCAGCAGGCUUCAUCCCCAUGUGAGCAAAGUUGUCAAGUCACAGGUCCAAUAUGUCCACCUGGAGGACUUAGUAGCUGCCCACCUUGUGACUUAACAAACAACAUAACAGCUGCCAGUGGAUCGUAGAUGCAUCCAGAAAGAGAGGCCCAGAGAAGGCCAGAGGCUCAUUCAGAAUCGUGCAGCCACCUCCUGAAUCCGGACACAGUGCACCGUUCCCAGCCCCUGCCUGUGCCCCAGUGAUCUGCUCAGCUGUGGGCUUGCAAGACGUCAGAACCUGAACACAGACCUCAGAUCCCAGGAUCAGUCUGACAAAUAUCACAGGACUCGAUAUACUCAAAAGAGAGACAAAAAGGUCCCCUUCCUGGGUGCGCAAGGAUUUGAGAGAAUCACCCAGAAGGUGUUGCCUCCUGUUCCCGCUGCUUGCCCUCCUCCCAGAAGCACUUGCGCUUUGAGCAUCUCCCUGGGGCCCUUGCAUCUGAACCUCCAAUACCUUUGCAUCUUUCACCUUGCUCCCAUCUUUCUGCUGGGGGAGACGGACAGACCACCUGUCCGCGUGCCAGAGCGCGAACUGGACAGUCAUCCUUCACUCGUGCCUCUCCUCUCUGUGGCUGGUGGCCUUGUCUCUGGUUUCAUUAAGAUGCUUUAAAAAUCUGCAGCUCCAUCAUCCAUUGACACCCAAGCACUUGCUGAUGGGAGAGGUACAGCAAUUCACGUCAUAGAAGGAAAAGUUUUGCACAGAGAAGCAAGAGAGAACCAGAUCAACCAUGGACUCUGUUUCCCAAUGUCCACAAAACUGCUGUUCAUGUCAGAGGCACAGCUACAACCUAUAGAUCUUGCUUAGGCCUUGGGGAUAAAGAGAGAACCAUAGACCUGCUCAUUCCCAUCUGGGCCUUGGCUUCUAAGAAGAGACAAAUAAUAAGAGGUUUGGAUUGAGGGUGUAUCUCCGUGACAGAACAGGAGUGCAUGAGGCCUGGGGUUCAAUCCACAGCACCAAA